CAACCCUGUGAACAUACCUAUAACGUUGCCUCGGCGGGAACAGACGGCCCCGUAACACGGGCCGCCCCCGCCAGAGGACCCCCUAACUCUGUUUCUAUAAUGUUUCUUCUGAGUAAACAAGCAAAUAAAUUAAAACUUUCAACAACGGAUCUCUUGGCUCUGGCAUCGAUGAAGAACGCAGCGAAAUGCGAUAAGUAAUGUGAAUUGCAGAAUUCAGUGAAUCAUCGAAUCUUUGAACGCACAUUGCGCCCGCCAGUAUUCUGGCGGGCAUGCCUGUUCGAGCGUCAUUACAACCCUCAGGCCCCCGGGCCUGGCGUUGGGGAUCGGCGGAAGCCCCCUGCGGGCACAACGCCGUCCCCCAAAUACAGUGGCGGUCCCGCCGCAGCUUCCAUUGCGUAGUAGCUAACACCUCGCAACUGGAGAGCGGCGCGGCCACGCCGUAAAACACCCAACUUCUGAAUGUUGACCUCGAAUCAGGUAGGAAUACCCGCUGAACUUAAGCA
This 503-nucleotide ribosomal RNA is filed under the name Fusarium solani. RNAcentral's name for it is "eukaryotic LSU rRNA". The stretch from base 134 to 287 matches the Rfam family "5.8S ribosomal RNA". The record is from RNAcentral. Lineage: Eukaryota; Fungi; Ascomycota; Sordariomycetes; Hypocreales; Nectriaceae.